Molecule: ribosomal RNA, 508 nt
Filed under: Ctenophryne geayi (brown egg frog)
Lineage: Eukaryota; Metazoa; Chordata; Amphibia; Anura; Microhylidae
Description: partial 16S ribosomal RNA
Rfam family: Bacterial large subunit ribosomal RNA
Source: RNAcentral
GUUAAACGGCCGCGGUACCCUAACCGUGCGAAGGUAGCGCAAUCACUUGUUCUUUAAAUGAGGACUAGUAUGAAUGGCAUCACGAGGGUUUCACUGUCUCCCCCUUUUAAUCAAUGAAACUGAUCUUCCCGUGAAGAAGCGGGAAUAAACAUAUAAGACGAGAAGACCCCAUGGAGCUUUAAACCCAGUAUCAACUACACUCACUAUACCACACAAGAUUAGUAGACAUGACACCUGGUUUUCGGUUGGGGUGACCACGGAGCAAAACAAAACCUCCAUGAUGAAAGGAAUCUAUUCCUAAUCUAAGAGCCACAGCUCAAAGAAUCAACAAACUGACAUUAAUUGACCCAAAUUAUUUUGAUCAACGAACCAAGUUACCCUGGGGAUAACAGCGCAAUCCAUUUCAAGAGCUCCUAUCGACAAAUGGGUUUACGACCUCGAUGUUGGAUCAGGGUAUCCCAGUGGUGCAGCCGCUACUAAAGGUUCGUUUGUUCAACGAUUAAAACCC